This 507-nucleotide ribosomal RNA is filed under the name uncultured bacterium. Its description in RNAcentral is "partial 16S ribosomal RNA". It matches the Rfam family "Bacterial small subunit ribosomal RNA", at positions 30 to 523 of the family's 1533-position model. The record is from RNAcentral.
AUUGAACGCUGGCGGCAUGCCUUACACAAGCAAGUCGAACGGCAGCGGGGGAGAAGCUUGCUUUUCCUGCCGGCGAGUGGCGAACGGGUGAGUAAUACAUCGGAACGUGCCCUGUAGUGGGGGAUAACUAGUCGGAAGACUAGCUAAUACCGCAUACGACCUGAGGGUGAAAGUGGGGGACCGCAAGGCCUCAUGCUAUAGGAGCGGCCGAUGUCUGAUUAGCUAGUUGGUGGGGUAAAGGCCUACCAAGGCGACGAUCAGUAGCUGGUCUGAGAGGACGAUCAGCACACUGGGACUGAGACACGGCCCAGACUCCUACGGGAGGCAGCAGUGGGGAAUUUUGGACAAUGGGCGAAAGCCUGAUCCAGCAAUGCCGCGUGUGUGAAGAAGGCCUUCGGGUUGUAAAGCACUUUUGUCCGGAAAGAAAUGGCUCUGGUUAAUACCUGGGGUCGAUGACGGUACCGGAAGAAUAAGGACCGGCUAACUACGUGCCAGCCGCCGCAGUAA